RNAcentral lists this ribosomal RNA (253 nucleotides) under uncultured bacterium. Its description in RNAcentral is "partial 16S ribosomal RNA". It matches the Rfam family "Bacterial small subunit ribosomal RNA", at positions 524 to 776 of the family's 1533-position model. The record is from RNAcentral.
UACGUAGGGUGCGAGCGUUAAUCGGAAUUACUGGGCGUAAAGCGUGCGCAGGCGGUUUUGUAAGUCUGUCGUGAAAGCCCCGGGCUCAACCUGGGAAUUGCGAUGGAGACUGCAAGGCUUGAAUCUGGCAGAGGGGGGUAGAAUUCCACGUGUAGCAGUGAAAUGCGUAGAUAUGCGGAGGAACACCGAUGGCGAAGGCAAUCCCCUGGGCCUGCACUGACGCUCAUGCACGAAAGCGUGGGGAGCAAACAGG